RNAcentral lists this ribosomal RNA (468 nucleotides) under uncultured bacterium. RNAcentral describes it as "partial 16S ribosomal RNA". It matches the Rfam family "Bacterial small subunit ribosomal RNA", at positions 28 to 507 of the family's 1533-position model. The record is from RNAcentral.
GACGAACGCUGGCGGCGUGCUUAACACAUGCAAGUCGAACGGAAAGACCCUGCUUUUGUGGGGUGCUCGAGUGGCGAACGGGUGAGUAACACGUGAGUAACCUGCCCUUGACUUUGGGAUAACUUCAGGAAACUGGGGCUAAUACCGGAUAGGAGCUCCUGCUGCAUGGUGGGGGUUGGAAAGUUUCGGCGGUUGGGGAUGGACUCGCGGCUUAUCAGCUUGUUGGUGGGGUAGUGGCUUACCAAGGCUUUGACGGGUAGCCGGCCUGAGAGGGUGACCGGCCACAUUGGGACUGAGAUACGGCCCAGACUCCUACGGGAGGCAGCAGUGGGGAAUAUUGAACAAUGGGCGGAAGCCUGAUGCAGCAACGCCGCGUGCGGGAUGACGGCCUUCGGGUUGUAAACCGCUUUCGCCUGUGACGAAGCGUGAGUGACGGUAAUGGGUAAAGAAGCACCGGCUAACUACGUG